This 531-nucleotide ribosomal RNA is filed under the name uncultured bacterium. RNAcentral describes it as "bacterial SSU rRNA". It matches the Rfam family "Bacterial small subunit ribosomal RNA", at positions 791 to 1320 of the family's 1533-position model. The record is from RNAcentral.
UAGUCCACGCCGUAAACGAUGUUCACCCGCUGUCUGCGAUACACAGUAGGCGGCUGAGCGAAAGCAUUAAGUGAACCACCUGGGGAGUACGAUCGCAAGGUUGAAAACUCAAAGGAAUUGACGGGGGCCCGCACAAGCGGAGGAACAUGUGGUUUAAUUCGAUGAUACGCGAGGAACCUUACCUGGGCUUAAAUGUAGAUUGCAUAACUUAGAAAUAGGUUUUCCCUUCGGGGCUAUUUACAAGGUGCUGCAUGGUUGUCGUCAGCUCGUGCCGUGAGGUGUCGGGUUAAGUCCCAUAACGAGCGCAACCCUUAUCGUUAGUUGCCCAGCGGGUAAAGCCGGGGACUCUAGCGAGACUGCCACCGUAAGGUGAGAGGAAGGUGGGGAUGACGUCAAAGUCAGGCACGGCCCUUAUGUCCAGGGCUACACACGUGUUACGAAUGGCCGGUACAAGGGCAGCUACUUGGUGACAAGAUGGCUAAUCCCUAAAGCCGGUACCCAGUUCGGAUUGGAGUCUGCAACCCGACUCCA